Molecule: non-coding RNA, 47 nt
Organism: Aedes albopictus (Asian tiger mosquito)
Lineage: Eukaryota; Metazoa; Arthropoda; Insecta; Diptera; Culicidae
Source: Rfam
CAAACGGUCCUUAUCAGGGCCACCAAAAAUGAUGCCUCAAAAGUUAU